UUGCUUGAGCAGCAGUAGACUGAAAUUGAAAUGACACGGAGAUUAGCAUGGCUCCUGUGCAAGGGUGACACACAGAUUCGUGGAGGGUUCUGUUAAAAA
Small nuclear RNA from Vicugna pacos (alpaca), 99 nucleotides. Lineage: Eukaryota; Metazoa; Chordata; Mammalia; Artiodactyla; Camelidae. The record is from Ensembl.